ACCGCGCAUCAAGAGUUGAGCGGACGCUCAACGCCAACCUGCUUUCCCGAGCAAGGUGGCGUCCCGAAGGGGGAUGUGGCCGGACCGGCAAACAAACGGGGUUCG
This 105-nucleotide non-coding RNA is filed under the name Azospirillum brasilense. RNAcentral describes it as "SAM-I-IV sequence". It matches the Rfam family "SAM-I/IV (S-adenosyl methionine) riboswitch aptamer". From Rfam's summary of the family: It is found upstream of a number of genes which code for proteins involved in methionine or cysteine biosynthesis. It has been found mostly in the order Actinomycetales. Lineage: Bacteria; Pseudomonadati; Pseudomonadota; Alphaproteobacteria; Rhodospirillales; Azospirillaceae. The record is from RNAcentral. RNAcentral also lists the same sequence under 1 other name.